ACUGUGCAGGGUUGGGUGACCAGGGCCCUCUGGGACUGCCUCCUGGAGGAAUUCAGGUGUGUGAAGGCUACCUGUGAUCUGCAUAACUUCCUGAGGAUAGACAUGAGGACCAGGAGGGGAUCUGCAGCUCGCCACCGUGUGCCAGAGGAGAAGCCUGCUGUUCUGCAGGAUGUUUCAAAGAUGGGUCCAACAACGCAGCAAGAGAGGCAAUCCAUGUGCGGGAGAUCUGCACCUCCUACUUCUUAGACGAGGUUGCUGUUCCCUGGCAACACCAUAGACUACACUCUGCACAACCAAAGGUUCUUUUAAGAGCCAUUCACAUUGCAAUAAGAGUAUUCUUCAAUUUACUUAGCUAUGUCAACUGCAGUUAUUCAUUUCCCAGUUUCUCUCCCUUUGAUUUCUACUUCUCAGAUGAGGGUGCUGUUUAGGUAAGGGUGUGUGAUGUCCGUACAAAAACAAAAGAGGCUAUUUUAAGAAUUUUAACAAUUAGACACCUUAUAACCCACACCUACCCAGCCAUGUAUCAAUCUGAUUGACGGAUGGUGUUGUGCAGUAAGCAGGCUCGGGUGUAUAACUAUGGAUCCUUCCACCAUCAAAGAAUAGGCAAGAGGGCCAACCAUGGAGAAUAGGCAAAAGGGCCAACCAUGGAGAAUAGGCAAGAGGGCCAACCAUGGAGAAUAGGCAAGAGGGCCAACCAUGGAGAAUAGGCAAGAGGGCCGAUCAUGGAGAAUAGUUAUAUCAGCUGUGUCGGUGAACCCCUCCCGCAUCUGAACUGGCUACAUAGAGGGCACAGCAUGAUCAGAGGUAUGUUUUGAUGUGAGAGAGGAUGCCAACCCGAGUCCUGUCAUCGCCACCUAACCCGCUCUUAAGAUCACAUUCAGGUCGACUGGGAGCCAUAGGCUGGUUUGCAGACACCACUAGAGACACUUUUAUGUAAUUGUGAUGAACUGAGAGAAUAUUAGGGUAGCAAUGUGAUUCACUAAUCAUAUGCUGUCUUCCCUGUUCCUCUGUUCUCACCUCUUUCCCUUCCUGUCUUUUACAUCUCUCAUCACCUCUUUCUUCCUCUGUAUUUAUAAUGCACAACAGAUGUGCAUUGAAGUACAGAUUGAACUUGUAUUUAUAAAAUAAUAUUACAAGUAUAAUAUUUAUAAUGCAUGUAUUACAUAUU
Oncorhynchus masou masou (cherry salmon) is the source of this 1168-nucleotide long non-coding RNA. RefSeq lists it as uncharacterized. Lineage: Eukaryota; Metazoa; Chordata; Actinopteri; Salmoniformes; Salmonidae. The transcript has 3 exons. The record is from RefSeq and is a predicted model, not a curated record.